RNAcentral lists this ribosomal RNA (467 nucleotides) under uncultured bacterium. RNAcentral's name for it is "partial 16S ribosomal RNA". It matches the Rfam family "Bacterial small subunit ribosomal RNA", at positions 29 to 507 of the family's 1533-position model. The record is from RNAcentral.
ACGAACGCUGGCGGCGUGCUUAACACAUGCAAGUCGAACGGAAAGGCCCUGCUUUUGUGGGGCGCUCGAGUGGCGAACGGGUGAGUAACACGUGAGUAACCUGCCCUUGACUUUGGGAUAACUUCAGGAAACUGGGGCUAAUACCGGAUAGGAGCUCCUGCUGCAUGGUGGGGGUUGGAAAGUUUCGGCGGUUGGGGAUGGACUCGCGGCUUAUCAGCUUGUUGGUGGGGUAGUGGCUUACCAAGGCUUUGACGGGUAGCCGGCCUGAGAGGGUGACCGGCCACAUUGGGACUGAGAUACGGCCCAGACUCCUACGGGAGGCAGCAGUGGGGAAUAUUGCACAAUGGGCGGAAGCCUGAUGCAGCAACGCCGCGUGCGGGAUGACGGCCUUCGGGUUGUAAACCGCUUUCGCCUGUGACGAAGCGUGAGUGACGGUAAUGGGUAAAGAAGCACCGGCUAACUACGUG